AAAUUUAGGAUAACACUAAACC
Molecule: transfer RNA, 22 nt
Filed under: Cnemaspis peninsularis
Lineage: Eukaryota; Metazoa; Chordata; Lepidosauria; Squamata; Gekkonidae
Description: partial tRNA-Trp
Source: RNAcentral